AAGGAGCAUCUAGGCCGC
This 18-nucleotide unclassified non-coding RNA is filed under the name Streptomyces turgidiscabies. RNAcentral describes it as "partial 16S-23S ribosomal RNA intergenic spacer". Lineage: Bacteria; Bacillati; Actinomycetota; Actinomycetes; Kitasatosporales; Streptomycetaceae. The record is from RNAcentral.